UUUUGGACAAUGUGCGCAAGCCUGAUCCAGCCCUGCCGCGUGAGUGAAGAAGGCCUUCGGGUUGUGAAGCUCUCUCGGACGGAAAGAAAUCGCGCAUGCUCUUACCCUGCGCGGAUGACGGUACCGUCAUAAGAAGCACCGGCUAACUAUACGCCCCCACCCGCGGUAAUACGUAGGGUGCGAGCGUUAAUCGGAAUUACUGGGCGUAAAGCGUGCGCAGGCGGUUGACUAAGACAGGCGUGAAAUCCCCGGGCUUAACCUGGGAACUGCGCUUGUAACUGGUCAGCUAGAGUACGGCAGAGGGGGGUGGAAUUCCACGUGUAGCAGUGAAAUGCGUAGAGAUGUGGAGGAACACCGAUGGCGAAGGCAGCCCCCUGGGCCGAUACUGACGCUCAUGCACGAAAGCGUGGGUAGCAAACAGG
This 422-nucleotide ribosomal RNA is filed under the name uncultured bacterium. RNAcentral's name for it is "partial 16S ribosomal RNA". It matches the Rfam family "Bacterial small subunit ribosomal RNA", at positions 362 to 776 of the family's 1533-position model. The record is from RNAcentral.